UCCCAGACUCCUACGGGAGGCAGCAGUGGGGAAUAUUGCACAAUGGGGGAAACCCUGAUGCAGCGACGCCGCGUGAGUGAAGAAGCGCCUCGGCGCGUAAAGCUCUGUCAGCAGGAACGACGAUGACGGUACCUGAAGAAGAAGCCCCGGCUAACUACGUGCCAGCAGCCGCGGUAAUACGUAGGGGGCAAGCGUUAUCCGGAUUUACUGGGUGUAAAGGGAGCGUAGACGGCGGGGCAAGUCUGGAGUGAAGGGCCGGGGCCCAACCCCGGGACCGCUCUGGAAACUGCCCGGCUGGAGUGCGGGAGAGGUAAGCGGAAUUCCUAGUGUAGCGGUGAAAUGCGUAGAUAUUAGGAGGAACACCAGCGGCGAAGGCGGCUUACUGGACCGUGACUGACGUUGGGGCUCGAAAGCGUGGGGAGCAAACAGGAUUAGAUACCCGUGUA
Molecule: ribosomal RNA, 446 nt
Filed under: uncultured bacterium
Lineage: Bacteria
Description: bacterial SSU rRNA
Rfam family: Bacterial small subunit ribosomal RNA
Source: RNAcentral